GAAGUGCGACGAUGCCGGGGCUGUGAGGGGAGUGCGAGGAAGCCGGUGCGAAUCCGGCGCCGUCCCGCGACUGUGACCGACCUGGGUCGGGAGUCAGGAACUCGCCCCCCUCUUCACCCACCG
RNAcentral lists this non-coding RNA (123 nucleotides) under Lentzea albidocapillata. Lineage: Bacteria; Bacillati; Actinomycetota; Actinomycetes; Pseudonocardiales; Pseudonocardiaceae. The record is from RNAcentral.